Molecule: ribosomal RNA, 253 nt
Filed under: uncultured bacterium
Lineage: Bacteria
Description: partial 16S ribosomal RNA
Rfam family: Bacterial small subunit ribosomal RNA
Source: RNAcentral
UACGCAGGGGGCGAGCGAGAACCGGAUUUACUGGGUGUAAAGGGUGCGUAGGCGGCUUGGUAAGUCAGAAGUGAAAGGUUGGGGCUCAACCCCAGAACUGCUUCUGAAACUGCUGGGCGAGAGUGUGGGAGAGGAAAGUGGAAUUCCGGGUGUAGCGGUGAAAUGCGUAGAGAUUCGGUGGAACACCAGUAGCGAAGGCGACUUUCUGGACCAUAACUGACGCUGAGGCACGAAAGCGUGGGGAGCAAACAGG